RNAcentral lists this ribosomal RNA (256 nucleotides) under uncultured bacterium. RNAcentral's name for it is "partial 16S ribosomal RNA". It matches the Rfam family "Bacterial small subunit ribosomal RNA", at positions 524 to 776 of the family's 1533-position model. The record is from RNAcentral.
UACGUAGGGUGCAAGCGUUGUCCGGAAUCAUUGGGCGUAAAGGGCGCGUAGGUGGCCCGGUCAGUCUUUGGUGAAAGCGCGGGGCUCAACCCUGCGUCGGCCAGGGAUACUGCCGCGGCUCGAGCACUGUAGAGGCAGGCGGAAUUCCGGGUGUAGCGGUGGAAUGCGUAGAGAUCCGGAAGAACACCGGUGGCGAAGGCGGCCUGCUGGGCAAUUUAGCUGACACUGAGGCGCGACAGCGUGGGGAGCAAACAGG